GAAUACACAUGUGUGUUGAGAAAGGGCCAAGAUCUGAUCUACAGAGAAAGAGAAAGUGAGCGCACAAUCCCCCACGACCACAAAUGAUACAGUUUAUUUCCACAUCUGGGGAAAUGAUAGGGGUCAGCACAUCUGGAGUUCAGUGGAUAAGCCUGGCCUUGGGAAACCACCUUCACGAUCAUGGUAUCUCCCCUAUAGAAAUCAUCAGUAUGUGCACAAGAAAGGAAAAAAGAAGAGUCAAAGAGGAUGCCAUAUGUUCAAGCCAUGAGAAGAAAUAAGGAACUCAGGAAGAGAAGAUUUGUAGUUUUAUGACAGAGUCUCACACCCAGUCCUUCCACAGUUUAGAUAUCAGAAGGUGGGGACUCCUAUGAUUGACAUUUCCAUUGAAUUGCCCCUCAAUGCCCAGCAAAGUAGCCCUGUAUAUAGACAAUGACAAAUGUAUUGAAAUCUACAUGUAGUAAGGAUAAAUUCAGGAUCUGGUCUGGAGUGGGUUAAAUAGUGACACCCCUUCCCUCCCUGGAAAGAUAUGUGCAUCUGAAACUUGCAAAUGUGACCUUAUUAGAAAAAAAGAGUCUUUGCAGUAGUGAUCUUUCUAGAUUAGGUUGGGCCCUAAAUCCAAUGACACAUCCUAUAUAAUAAGGAUAUGCUAAGUGUCAGACGUUUGUUCGACUGUUCAACCAGUCGCUAUGAUGCAUAC
Long non-coding RNA from Myotis myotis, 697 nucleotides. RefSeq lists it as uncharacterized. The record is from RefSeq and is a predicted model, not a curated record. The transcript has 3 exons. NCBI's taxonomy places the organism in Eukaryota, Metazoa, Chordata, Mammalia, Chiroptera, Vespertilionidae.